This 4915-nucleotide long non-coding RNA is filed under the name Sus scrofa (pig). Its description in RNAcentral is "lncRNA (ENSSSCG00000053260.1)". The record is from RNAcentral. Lineage: Eukaryota; Metazoa; Chordata; Mammalia; Artiodactyla; Suidae.
AGGUAAUCCCUGAGCCACCUCCCACCAGAUUUGCUCCAGGCCCCUCUCAGAGGGGGAUGUUCCGUAGCUCUACAGGGAGAUCCAUGUGGCCCACGUAGCCCUCUGAGAGUCUGCGGGGAAAUCACAGACAGAUCUGCAGAGAGAAGAGAGAGAGGCAGAGACAGCUGGGGGUUCGCCUCCAGGGAGCAGGCACCCCCCACCAAGGACUGAGAUGGAGCAAAGUAGCAGAGAACAGCGGUCCUCCUCUCCCCAGCGCCUGGGUAGCUGCAUGGUGGCCCCAGGCGUGAUCCAGGGCCACCUCUCUCUUAAACAUGAGGAAGCUGAAGGUCGAAGAGGGGACAGGAGUUGCUCUAGGUUACAUGGCACUGGAGUGGCUCUCUUCUUCAGUGUUCUGGGGGUGAUGGGAAAAGGCAGCUCUGCCCUUUCAGAAGCAAGGGGGCCUCGAGCUGGACGUCACAGCUUCCCCUACCUGCACCCUGUUGUCCCCUUCCCGAGGCCGUCAGGGGCUUGAGUUGCAUCUGCAGCAUGCCUGGACCCUCCGUUCCCCCAUUCAUAAAACCAAGGGCAAGAGCCCCUGCUUUCCUUCCUUGCAGGGCUGUGGUGAGGAGUCGCUGGAAAUAAGGCACGAGGAAGAGCUUUCCAAGCCAGGGUGUCAUUGCGUUUGCGACGAGGCCAGGUCAGUGAGGGCUGCAGGAAUAACGGCAGGAUUAAUGCCGACGCCGUGGGAAGGACGGGGCCGCACCCUGCCUGUCCUCUUCUCUCGCUCGCCUGCCCCGCGAGGAAGCAGUGUUUCCAGAUUGACUUAAGUAAGAAAUGUGCCGCAGCAGCCAUUCCUCGCUCAGCCUUCGCUUGCCCAAGGCAGAGCGAUUUUAAUUUUCGAGCCGUAAUGAGAAAAAGAAACUCAGAAUUAAAGAAUAUUCCUGUGAAGCCGUCAAAAGAGCUGCCCAGACUCUGAAUCGAGGGGAGAAAUGGAAAUUAAUCUCUCCCUUUCCCUCCCUGGCACCAAUUGGACCCGAAGAAGCUGGGCUGGGCGAGGGCAUAGCUGGUGAAAAUCCGGGCAAGCCCAGCCCUGAGGUGGAAUGAGCAGGCAGCCCCCGGCCCACGCCAGGGUGCUGGCAGGACCACAGGACCGAGAGCUUCCACCCACUCACCUCUGGGCUCUUGUGGCGCACGGUGGCUCUAGGCGAUAUUGUCUAACCUGGAUAAGCUUCACUUUGCUCCCUUGGGCACUGGGGAUGCCAACACUUACCUUCUGGAUUGUUGUGAAGAUUGAGUGAGACAUUCCCGCAGAAUUGCCUGGCACAGUGCCUGGCACGUGGCAAACACUCACUAAAGGCCGUUAGUAUUAUUUUAAGUAUCUUAAUGAGACUGCUGGCAUUUAUUAGCCUUUACUGGGUGCUCACUCGGAGCCAGCCAGGGUGCUAUGGAUACAGCAAUGACUCAACGGUGGCUCUGUCCUUAAGGAGCCCACAGUCUCUGAGGGGGUGGUAGAUAUGGAAACAACCACUGAAAAAGUGUCAUCACUGCCAUCGCCACCCCAAGAACCAUCAUCUGAGCCCUGACGAUGCACCAGGCACGGCAUCGAUUCCUCCCUAACCCUGCAGAGGCUCCAUGACCUCCACUUUAUAGGAGAGCGAUGAGCUCUGCUUGAGAUGGAAUCACGGGAGCUUCAGAGAAAAGGCGAUCUUUUUUUCUGACUGUGCCCUUGCCAUCUGGAAGUUCCUGGGCCAGGGAUCGAACCCAUGCCGCAAUAGCGACCCAAGCUGCUCCAGUGACGCCACUAGAUCCUUAACCUGCUGUGCCGCAGGAGAACUCCCUAAAAGGUGAAAUCUUUGAUUGGGAUUUUGAAGAGUGAGUAGGAGUUUUCCAGGAGUCAAGACGGAGAAGGAAUAAAAUGGGACCCCCUUCCGUGGGUCCUGGAGGGCGGGAGCUGCAAGCAGCCUCAGCAGGUGUUCCCCAGGCCUCGAGGUCUUUGCGUUCCACCUUGACAGCCACUGCUGUGCCACUCAAGAUCAUAUUAUAACCUAGAUGAAGUGCGAGUAUUUUAUUUCAUUUUAUUUUUUUGGUCUUUUUAGGGCUGCACUCAUGACAUAUGGAGGUUCCCAGGCUAGGGGUUGAAUUGGAGCUGGAGCUGCCGGCCUAUGUCACAGCCACAGCAAUGUGGGAUCCAAGCCACAUCUGCAACCUACACUCACAGGAACGCCAGAUCCUUAAACCACUGAGCGAGGCCAGGGCUCGAACCUGUGUCCUCAUGGAUGCUAGUCACCUUCGUUAACUGCCGAGCCACGAUGGCAACUCCUGCAGCGAGAUCAUUUUAGAGAGAAUAUAAUCAACAGACCUGUACCUCCAGAGGAUGCCAGCCAAGGUGCGAACUGAGAGCAUUGCCAGGAGGUGGAGCCCCUCUCCCCAUACCCACUGACCCAGUCAAGGGCCCUCGUCAGGGGUGUGGGAUGGGAUCCCCGGGGGAGGCUGGGAGGCACCGACGGGCUAGAGUCGGGGAGAUGGUCUCCAUGACCUUGGGAUUUGAAGGAGAUAAAUGAAACCUCCUCCUUGGUGACAGUCCUUCCCUGCACUCUGCCUGUUCGCCCCCCUCACACCUGCCACAGCCGCAGAGGAGGCCUCCAUGUCGGUGCACCCUGGCGGGCUGAGCCAGGAUGUGGCGUUAGGAUCCAUCUGGCUGGUUCCCCGCCCGGGAAGAUCUGGCCUCAUCGUUAUUCACAUUCUGUUUCCCUACUCGGAGCAGGGAGAAGCAGGCGUCCUGCACUGGGGACAGCAGCAAAGGGGGGUCUCUUUCAGCAAGGCAGUCUUCAGAGCUCAGACCACGUCUCAGGGUCACCCACCCUCAGCAGCACCUCGAGGGGCUUCCGAGGCAGUACGGGGGGGAUUUGAGGCAGACCUUGGGGGGGGGCACUGUCCGACCACAAGGUGGCGAGGCUGUGGUGCACUUGACCGGAUGGCAGGUGUUCUCCGAACGUGUCUUUGGCGGAAGGGGAUGGACAAAGCGUAGCCCUGAGGCUGACCUCGCCUCCUGCUUUCCUUGGAGCCGCCCACAGGCCUAGUUCAUUCCUCACUUUAAGACGUGGCCCUGGGAGGGAGUGGUCCCCACAAGAAACAGGAAGCACGUGCACAUCCCAGUAAAACCCUCAAAGAGGCAAUUAUUUCGGGGCUGCGUAUCCCAGCCCGGAGUACGAGCAGCCAGAUUUCCAGAGCUGCUGUCAUUGCCUCUGGCUGUUGGCAAAAUUAAACUUCUUGAGAAAUGAGAAUGUGCUGGCCCCCAGCUUUCAAGGGGGUGGAAACAUUGGCCUGCCUGGAGCCUUCCGUGAGAGGCUGGAGGGAGCGGGAGAGGGGUGUGGGGAUAUGGGACAUGAUGGAGGAAGCAAAAUAGCUUCCAAGGCCCCCAGCAGGCAGCACGGGCCCCGUACCGUGUUCACAACGUGCACAGACCUGUACCAGGUCUGCAUACCGCCCACGGGAGUGUGAGCUGGGUGAGGGCAGGGGCCUUGGCACUCUUGACACCUCUGUGUCCCCUGUGCCUGGGGCGGUGCCUGGCUCGUCGUAGAUACCCAGUAAAUAGAUACCGAUUCCUCAAUGCGUGUGCACACCUGGGCACAAGGCCAGAGCUUGUGAUAAACCUGUGAGAGUCCUCCCGAGCCUCUCAACCAACACGGGUCACACGCGGGCACUUUUGAAGAACACGAAAGUGCCCUGUCUUCCCACCCUUUGUGCAUGGGACGAUGCUGCAAGAUACGAAGUACAUUCGCCAUGGUGAGAAACGGCCUCCUUGACACACGAAGGGCUGGGCGGUGGCCUGGUCGGGCGCCCCCGCAAGAGGCGAUCCUCCCUGAAGCCUCAGACCACAGCCCGCUCUUCCGCCAACUGCCCGCCCAGACCGACUUCCAGCCCCUCUUCGGACACGCACAGCUCCCCCCAUCACGUCCUCAGCCCCCCGCAGCCUCACCUUGGGUCCCUCUUACUCUGUUGGGACAUCUCUUAGGCCCCACUUCAAAUUCCCUCAGCCUCGUCUCUUCCUCCAGCCACUGCUGUGACAGACAGCAUCCUGCUGGCUGUGGCAAUUCACGGGUGGGACCUGACAAACCUCGCCCUCAGGCCCCUGACCUUGCCCUCUGGCUUCCUGCCCCAGGGCUUCUUUGUGACCAGGGCACUGCAUGGCUUUCCUGAAAGCCAAGUACAGGAUAGAUGAUACCAAGGGGGCAACUCUGGGCAGUGGGGUGGGAACCACUGGACAAGGGUUUCCCUUUUCUCGCCCCAGGAGAUGGUUCUGAGACGCUUCCAGGAUCUUUUCCCAAUGCUCCCCAGCUGCCUGACGCUGUGACUGACCCAGUAACACAGCCGUACCUUCUCGGCGGGCUCUCCUUGGUCCCCGUCCUCUGCCCCUCGCCCUUUUGGCCUGGAUCACAGCCUUUGUCCCAUGGUUGGCUUUCCGGGGAACUUGGACAAAACCCUUGCCCUUUGCCAUUUGUCCUUUGUCCUUUGCUGCCUCUGCCCUAGCCACACGGGUUUUCUUUCAGCUCGUCAACUCUUGCCCACCCCAGGACGGCCAAACAAGCUUUCUCCAGGACCUGGAGUAUUUGUCUGUCUGCUAGGAAAGCCCCUUGGCUGCGCCCCGAAAGACCAGAAGGAGGCAGCCGUGGGAAGGGAGAUCCAGGCAGAAGGGACAGGCAAGGAGUCCCGUCGUGGCACAGUGCCAACCAACCCGACUAGUAUCCCUGAGGACACGGGUUCAGUCCCUGGACUCAGUGGGUUAAGAAUCAGGCGAGCUGCGAGCUCUGGUGUAGGUCACAGAUGCAACUUGGAUCCCCCAUGGCUGUGGCUGUGGCGUAGUGGCCGGCAGCUACAGCUCCCAUUUGACCUUUAGCCUGGGAACCUCCAUGUGCCUUGGGUGUGGCUCUAAAAA